GAGGGAGUUGCAUCACUCCUGAUGCGCCACGUCAACAUCACUCUUAAAAAAAAACUUUACGAUUGGGCUUAAGCUUUGUAAUGUUUUUAAUGGGCUUUUCUUUUCAAUCGUGAUCCUUCGUCGUCUGAAACGACUCAUCUUACGGCGUGUUCUUAGGCUUUCCUUCCUUCUUCCAGAUCCUUCGUCAUCUGAAUGGAUUCAUCUUCCGGCAUAAACAUCCAUUGAUUAAACGCCUCCUCUUCAUGUAACGUCUUCUCAAACAUCCUAUAUAUAGAGGUCGUCUAUGAACUGCUCAAUCCGUUGUUGGUCACCUCAUCUGCUUUUGGGAUUCCCGGAACAUCAACAAGAACGGAGAGUUCAUGGGGAUAACGAUUCUGCUCCUCGAUGAAUUGAUGGAAAAAAAAAUCAAGGUGGUUAUUGAGAUCAAGCAACGAAAUGUGGCUGAGGAAAAUCGGUAAACACAGGAGCUUUUAAAGGAUAGGGAGCAAGCUUUGCAAGAUCAGUUAAUGCAAGCAAAAGACAGUGUCUCCACUAUGCAAAAAUUGCAUGAGUUAGCACAGAGCCAACUUUUUGAACUCCGUGUUCAAUCAGGUUAGUCAUUCUGAGAAUUUUAAGAGAUUCACUUGGAAGAACGUCCUAAACUGCUCUGGGAGGUUGUUGGUUUGUCUAUGAGUUAUGUUAUAGACAUCGAGAAGGUGUUAGAAAUGAUACAUUUUUCUAAAAGUAAGAGUCACUUGCAAAACAGAAGGCAAGAGUGUAAGCUUGGACCAAUCUUAAACUUUCCAAAGGACUCGAGCUGUUAUUUUCGCUCACCUUACGACAAAGAAGGCUUAUGGGUUCUUCUACCGGAUUCAAACAACAUAUGGUACUUUCAGAAGGUUAGCUCCAUGGAUGAAUCUGAAGCUAUGCACACUUCUUCAAGUGCUAUUAGUUUGACAAUGAAAAGUUUAGGAGCCAGGUUGAGGCAAAGAACAAGGAAGUUAGAGAAGGUUAAAAGCCUAUCCAGAUUGGUAAUGGGGAAAUGCUUAAAACCUGCAGAAGGUACUAAAUUUGACUUGCUUAUGAUGAGUUCUGCCUAAGAGAUGCUUGGAUCAGUUGUGAUGAAAGGACAUUACUGAAAGUUGAGUAUUUGAAAAGAAGAAGCGUUUGGAGGGUGAGGUCGCAGAAGAAGGUGUGGAGGAGGAAGAAGAUGAUAAUCUAUAGAAUUAUGUAAGCAAAUAUAGUGAAGACACGUCAAACACUUUGCCCUGGUGUUUGUUCUUCUUUUACUGUAGAUUCUGCCUCUAAAUUUUACACAGUCAAACACUUUACCCUUUUAUUUGUUUUUCUGCUGAUUCCAUAGAUGUUAAUCUCUAACUUUUUAAAAGAUUAAAUAACUAAUUUAGUUAAACCAGUUCUAAAUAAUAAAGAAAAAUGUUAUUUU
This is a long non-coding RNA of Raphanus sativus (radish), 1423 nucleotides long. RefSeq lists it as uncharacterized. The transcript has 5 exons. The record is from RefSeq and is a predicted model, not a curated record. Lineage: Eukaryota; Viridiplantae; Streptophyta; Magnoliopsida; Brassicales; Brassicaceae.